This 433-nucleotide ribosomal RNA is filed under the name uncultured bacterium. RNAcentral describes it as "partial 16S ribosomal RNA". It matches the Rfam family "Bacterial small subunit ribosomal RNA", at positions 29 to 507 of the family's 1533-position model. The record is from RNAcentral.
AACGAACGCUGGCGGCAUGCCUAACACAUGCAAGUCGAACGAGACCUUCGGGUCUAGUGGCGCACGGGUGCGUAACGCGUGGGAACCUGCCCUUAGGUUCGGAAUAACUCCCCGAAAGGGGUGCUAAUACCGGAUAAUGUCUUCGGACCAAAGAUUUAUCGCCUUUGGAUGGGCCCGCGUUGGAUUAGCUAGUUGGUAGGGUAAAAGCCUACCAAGGCGACGAUGCAUAGCUGGUCUGAGAGGAUGAUCAGCCACACUGGGACUGCGACACGGCCCAGACUCCUACGGGAGGCAGCAGUGGGGAAUAUUGGACAAUGGGCGAAAGCCUGAUCCAGCAAUGCCGCGUGAGUGAUGAAGGCCUUAGGGUUGUAAAGCUCUUUUACCCGGGAUGAUAAUGACAGUACCGGGAGAAUAAGCUCCGGCUAACUACGUG